UGUUUCGACGACGGAAUGUCUCACAGGAAAUUCUCGGCUCCCAAGGCUUCCUGCCUCGGAAUCGCAGCAGCCGGCAUCGCGGGAAGGUGAAGAGCUUCCCCAAGGAUGACGCCUCCAAGCCUGUCCACCUUACAGCCUUCCUGGGCUACAAGGCCGGCAUGACCCACAUCGUGCGCAAGGUCGACAGGCCAGGGUCCAAGGUGAACAAGAAGGAAGUGGUGGAGGCUGUGACCAUUGUGGAGACACCGCCCAUGGUGGUGGUCGGCAUCGUGGGCUAUGUGGAAACUCCUCGAGGUCUCCGGACCUUCAAGACUGUCUUUGCUGAGCACAUCAGUGAUGAAUGUAAACGGCGCUUCUACAAGAACUGGCAUAAAUCGAAGAAGAAGGCUUUCACCAAGUACUGCAAGAAGUGGCAGGACGACGAUGGCAAGAAGCAGUUGGAGAAAGACUUCAGCAGCAUGAAGAAGUAUUGCCAGGUCAUCCGUGUCAUCGCCCACACCCAGAUGCGCCUGCUUCCUCUGCGCCAGAAGAAGGCCAACCUGAUGGAGAUUCAGGUGAAUGGGGGCACAGUGGCCGAGAAACUGGACUGGGCCCGGGAGAAGCUGGAGCAGCAGGUGCCUGUGAACCAGGUGUUCGGGCAGGAUGAGAUGAUUGAUGUCAUCGGGGUGACCAAGGGCAAGGGCUACAAAGGAGUCACCAGCCGCUGGCAUACCAAGAAGCUACCCCGCAAGACCCACCGAGGCCUGCGCAAAGUUGCCUGUAUUGGGGCCUGGCACCCUGCCCGCGUGGCCUUCUCUGUGGCGCGUGCUGGGCAGAAGGGUUACCACCACCGCACUGAGAUCAACAAGAAGAUCUACAAGUUUGGCCAGGGCUACCUUAUCAAAGAUGGCAAACUGAUCAAAAACAACGCCUCCACUGAUUACGAUCUGUCUGACAAGAGCAUCAACCCUCUGGGUGGUUUUGUCCACUAUGGUGACGUGACCAACGACUUUGUCAUGCUGAAAGGCUGUGUGGUGGGGACCAAGAAGCGAGUGCUCACAUUGCGCAAGUCCUUGCUGGUACAGACCAAACGCCGGGCACUGGAGAAGAUUGAUCUCAAGUUCAUCGACACCACCUCCAAGUUUGGCCAUGGCUGCUUCCAGACAGUGGAGGAGAAGAAGGCGUUCAUGGGACCACUUAAGAAAGACCGAAUUGCAAAGGAAGAAGGUGCUUAA
Molecule: RNA transcript, 1214 nt
Organism: Chrysochloris asiatica (Cape golden mole)
Lineage: Eukaryota; Metazoa; Chordata; Mammalia; Afrosoricida; Chrysochloridae
Gene name: ribosomal protein L3 pseudogene
Exons: 1
Source: RefSeq, a predicted model, not a curated record